UGGGGAAUCUUGGACAAUGGGCGCAAGCCUGGUCCAGCCAUGCCGCGUGAGUGACGAAGGCCUUAGGGUUGUAAAGCUCUUUUGCCGGGGACGAUAAUGACGGUACCCGGAGAAUAAGUCCCGGCUAACUUCGUGCCAGCAGCCGCGGUAAUACGAAGGGGACUAGCGUUGUUCGGAAUUACUGGGCGUAAAGCGCACGUAGGCGGAAUUGUCAGUCAGAGGUGAAAUCCCGGGGCUCAACCUCGGAACUGCCUUUGAUACAGCAAUUCUCGAGUCCGAUAGAGGUGAGUGGAAUUCCUAGUGUAGAGGUGAAAUUCGUAGAUAUUAGGAAGAACACCGGUGGCGAAGGCGGCUCACUGGAUCGGUACUGACGCUGAGGCACGAAAGCGUGGGGAGCAAACAGGAUUAGAUACCCCCGUAGUCCCUGAGCGGGCUGGCAAGGCGCAU
Molecule: ribosomal RNA, 447 nt
Filed under: uncultured bacterium
Lineage: Bacteria
Description: bacterial SSU rRNA
Rfam family: Bacterial small subunit ribosomal RNA
Source: RNAcentral